UCAUCUGCACCUUCGCAAAGGCGAACAGAGAGCCAAGCAUAGAAGGAUUUGGCACUUCCUCGGCCCCCGGCCUGCAAUUUGGAGAGAGGAGGCUAAGCUUCUGGCUUACAGGAGUCAUUCCUGGAAUCUGUUUGCAGAGAGAGAGAGAGAGAGAGAGAGAGAGGCCUUCUACAUCUUACCUGGAUGUAGGGCACCCGCGAGCCGAGACUUAAAUGGGAAGCGCAAACUUUCCGGCCAGCCCUUUCAAGCUCAGGAUUCCUCCGGAGGCGAGAGCGCAAAGCGGGGCUGAGCCCAGAAGAGACUUUCCGAGCCGGGCUGAGGCGCUGAACCCUUCGGGGGGCGGCUGGAGCGGAAGAUGCACCCCCGAGCCAGCUUUCUGAGGCUUUGCCGCGGGACAGCCAUGCACUGAGAACGGGAUGACGUCGGUAUUGAGGCCGCUUGCCUUCAGACUGAAAGCCGCCGCGCU
Pantherophis guttatus is the source of this 466-nucleotide non-coding RNA. The record is from RefSeq and is a predicted model, not a curated record. Lineage: Eukaryota; Metazoa; Chordata; Lepidosauria; Squamata; Colubridae.